This 23-nucleotide non-coding RNA is filed under the name Arabidopsis thaliana (thale cress). The record is from RNAcentral. Lineage: Eukaryota; Viridiplantae; Streptophyta; Magnoliopsida; Brassicales; Brassicaceae.
CAUCACGGUCAGACAAAACAGAG